UGUGUCACUUUUCAAAAUUUUGAUGGCCAC
RNAcentral lists this non-coding RNA (30 nucleotides) under Rattus norvegicus (Norway rat). Lineage: Eukaryota; Metazoa; Chordata; Mammalia; Rodentia; Muridae. The record is from RNAcentral.